AUUAUUAUAAGUAAAAUCUGCUCAAUGAAAAUAAAUAGCCGCAGAAUAUUAACUGUGCUAAGGUAGCAUAAUCAUUUACCUUCUAAUUAAGGGUUUGUAUGAAUGAUUUUACAUUUAAAUUACUUUUUCAUAAAAUAUUAUUGAACUUAAAUUAAUUAUAAAAAUGUAUUUAUAACUAAAAAAGACGAUAAGACCCUAUUGAACUUUACUAAAGUUUAGCUGGGGAAGCUAAUUAAAUAUAAUUUUGAUUUUAAAGAAAAAAAUUCUAAUAUAAUUAAUUUCAAAAAGUUACCAUAGGGAUAACAGCGUAAUACAAUUUUAAAGCUCUUAUUAAAAAUUAAGCUUACGACCUCGAUGUUGAAUUAAGUUUCUUUAAAACGCAAUAGUAUUAAAAGUAGGUCUGU
RNAcentral lists this ribosomal RNA (404 nucleotides) under Mesasigone mira. RNAcentral's name for it is "partial 16S ribosomal RNA". The record is from RNAcentral. Lineage: Eukaryota; Metazoa; Arthropoda; Arachnida; Araneae; Linyphiidae.